This 1359-nucleotide ribosomal RNA is filed under the name Triticum aestivum (bread wheat). Its description in RNAcentral is "partial small subunit ribosomal RNA". The record is from RNAcentral. Lineage: Eukaryota; Viridiplantae; Streptophyta; Magnoliopsida; Poales; Poaceae.
AUGGCACAAGCGGCGCACGUCGUCAUGCUCACGAGCUCCGGUGCCGGCCACGUCCUCCCGGUGUCCGAGCUGGCGAAGCGCCUCGCCGUGCGCCACGGCUUCACCGUCACUAUCGUCACUUACGCCAGCCUGUCCACGCCCGGCCACUCCUCGCCGCUCGCCUCCCUCCCGCCGGGCGUCUCCGUCGCCGCGCUCCCGGAGGUGUCCAUCAGCGACCUCCCAGCCGACGCGCACUUGGUGACCCGCAUCCUCACCGUCAUCAACCGCGCCCUGCCACAACUACGCGACUUACUACGCUCCCUCCUCGGCCUCCCGGCGGGGAUCACUGCCUUCAUGACCGACAUGCUCUGCCCCGCGGCGCUCGCCGUCAGCAAGGAGAUGGGUCUGCCUGGGACCACCACCUGCGAGUGCCGCGACCUCCCGGAGCCCGUGAUGCUCCCGGGGUGCGUGCCGCUGCACGGCGCCGAUCUCGUCGAACCCGUCCAGAACCGCUCCGACCCCGUGUACGAGCUCAUGGUCGACCUCGGUCUCAACUACCUCCUCGCGGAAGGCUUCAUCGUCAACACCAUGGACGCUUUGGAGCACGAGACGCUGGUGGCGUUCCAAGAGCUUUCUGACAAAGGCGUGUACCCUCCGGCAUACGCCGUGGGUCCAUUCACCCGGCGGCGGUGCCCCGACUCGGACGAGGUCAAGCACAGCUGCCUACGGUGGCUGGACAACCAGCCGGACGGCUCGGUCUUGUACGUGUCCUUCGGCAGCGGCGGCGCGCUGUCCACAGAGCAGACGGCCGAGCUGGCGGCUGGGCUCGAGGCGAGCGAGCAGAGGUUCCUCUGGGUGGUCCACCACCCCAACGACAAGGACAGCAGCGCUGGCUACCUCGGUACUGCCACCACCGACGACGACCCGCUGAGCUACCUGCCCGAAGGGUUCGUCGAGAGAACGAAAGGCACAGGGCUCCUUGUGCCACUGUGGGCGCCGCAGGUGGAGAUCCUUAACCAUGUCGCCGUGGGAGGGUUCAUGUCUCAUGGCGGAUGGAACUCCACGCUGGAGAGCGUGGCGGCGGGCGUGCCGAUGGUGGCGUGGCCGCUGUACGCCGAGCAGAGGAUGAACGCGGUGAUGCUGUCGUCGGAUCGGGUGGGCCUGGCUUUGUGGGAGAGGCCUCCCCUCGGUAAAGACGGAGCAAUUGUCCCGCGAGAGGAGGUGGCGGCGCUGGUGGGAGAGCUUAUGGAAGGGGAGAAGGGCGCCAUGGCGCGGAAAAAGGCCGAUCACCUCCGGGAUGAGGCCGAGAUUGCUCAGGAUCGAGCUCUCGCGGUAGUGGCUGGCAUGGUUUCCUUGCAUCGGAAGAGCCACGGUGACUAA